GGAGAACUCCAAUGGCGACUGUGUCAGCACGCCCACACCAGGCCUCAACAAUGGCCGCCGCCAAUGUCCCAGUCCCUGGAGAGGUCUCGCCCCUCACUGAGAUGCACUCAGGGCCUAUUAGAAGGUGAGCAAGCCAUAUCGCAUAAAUCGAUCUUUCCCGUUGAGCCGAGACCGCGUCAAGAAAAAUUCUAGAGGUGUGACCUCAGUGCUCCUUGGAAGGAGGAGAAGUAAGACGAUGGAACCCUGGCCACAAAGCAGAGUCCAAGGAGCUGUUCUUGAAAGUGAAUCGUGAAUGUUUAAGGUUAUUUAAAGAUUACACUGCUAAAAAGGCAGUGGUGAAGUUUUCAUGUUCCCUCUCCUAAGGGUAUGUUUGCUCCAGCCUAUAUGCAGAACUAUGGAAUCGGCAAUGUGCAGAUUUUCGGUCUCAUAAAAAUGUUAGGAGGAACAAUGACAUUUAGAUUUUUAAGGGACUGUGCUAGGUGCUGAAGAUGGAGUGGUGGACAAGACAGAGACCCUGCCUUGUGAAGCUUACCCUCUAGUGCGGGAAGGCAAUGAAAAGGUUCUCAGGCUUUUGGCCUCAGACUGGGAGUUACAUCCUCGGCAACCCUGGUUCUCAGGCCUUCAGACUCAGACUGAAUUAUAGCACCGGCUUUCCUGGGUCUCCAGCUUGGACAUGGCCUUCUCAGCCUCCACAAUUGUCCCUCCACCUACAUUUAUGUCUGGGAAGCCACUUGAUGGUGUCUUGCUGCUACAGGUACCCACAGAAGACAUUUGAUAUUGGUGUCAAGGAUGCCAUCUCCUGGUGCUUCGAAAGCUGUAAAUCCUCAAGGGCCUGUGGCAGUGCUGUUCAGGGGGGAGAUGGCCCCCACCCCCUACACUAUGACCCUGAUGUAUGAUGAAAGGUGAGCAUAAGGCCAGACCGAAGCACGGGAAGGUGUGUCUGCCCAGCCCACUGCAGGACGGAAAUAAAAGGGACACCAGAGACGGUGAAAGGCAGUUCCCACAUGGCCCCUAACUGUAGGGGUUGGUUAGCUAGAAAUGUCAAUAGUCCUAAUGAGGACUGUGGAGUAAUUUGUUAAAUAACCGAGUGAGGAUGCCAGUCAGAAGCUGCUGGAGGAGAGCACAGCAUCAAUGAGAGACAAACGAAAUCGCUCGCUUUUCUCUGCAUCAAGUGGGCCCUUGGAGGCUCAGAACGAGUUGGUCCAGAAAAAGCAGAGAGAGCAGAAGGAAAGAGUUGGGGAAGGAAGGACGAGGCAGCUCAGCCUCCUGGAAGUCUGAGGGGCGAUGAAGAAAGAGACCCCUUGCUCACACUGAGAAAACACACAUGACCUGAGCGGAGAGUGGAAAGAAAGCCUCCUGGUCCCCAGGGAACUUGACAGAGAGCGCCUGACAGCCAGACUGAGUGACUGGCCUCACCAUCUGCUCCCGCACGUCUCUCCCCAACAAUGGGGACUUCUGCAGACCUUCUGCCCCUUCCCCUCCCCCACCUUUAGCAUGCAUUUAAAUGAGGCCCCAUCACUGGGGGGCGGCAGCUCCUGUUGUGAUCUCUCACACCGAGGGAGCCAGCCCCGCACCCGAACAGGAGGCCCGAGGGGAGAGGUUAAAAUCUCAGCUGCCCAGGGUGAUGAUUACGGAGCCGCUCCCAAAUUAAGCUGCUUCACUGCUGGUCCUUGGGCAUGUGUUGGGAUAAUUGUGCUUGAAUACUUAAUGCUUGAUUGACUUGGCUGUUUUGUGUUUCACCAUAUUUUGAAAUGCGAUCUCACUGUUGGGGUAGGCAAUUAGCAUCAAGCCCACGGGGUUGGAAAGAGGGAACACUGAGUUGCUUCUAUGGUGAUUUCUGUUUCUUUCCUGGAUUCAGCACAGAAAGCUGAGUGUUCUGCUGGGGCUCAUUUGCCUAUAUUUGGAUCAUCUGGAAUUUUGAUCUUAAAGAGGAAGUCUCUUAAUCCUGAACUUCAGUGUAGCUGCUAACUUUGAUCUUUGCUCCUUCCGUUACAGCUGAGUUUUGCUUCCAUUUCAAGUGACCUUCGCUCCGGUUCAGCAGUGGAAGAAUAGGAGAGGAGACGUCAGGGCUCAGAAGAGGAAAAUUCGUGCUGAGGAUCAGAAAGGCUAGGACAGAAUACAAGUGAUAAGUUAUGACACAGAAUCCAGAAUUUUGAGAUGACAGCGGAGUGGCUGUGGUGCCCUGUCCUGUUCAGUUCUUUAUGGGUAUGUCUUAAUCAUCUCUGUUUCCCCAGCGCCUAGCACAAUGCCUGGCUUUUAGUAAGCAUUUAGUAUUUAUAUUUGUGGGACAUGUAUAUUAACGCUAGCACAAUUUCCAGGAAAACAGAGAAGGGCAAUUAGCUAAUUUAAAAAAUCGGUUUGAUUUCGUUUUCAAAUGCUUAACUUGAGCACCACUCAGGCUGUGUCCCAUAUUAUUGGACUAAAGCAUUCCAGUUAAGAAUUACAAAAGGCAGGCAAUGGGUCACACAGAUUCGAGAUCACUUUGGGGAUAUUUGAAACCACUGACUCUCUAUAAUAAAGGAAGGCCAGGUUUCUACUCAUUUAAUCUCAUUAAAAGCCGCACAAGCAAGUACCAGUUUAUUUAAAGAGAAGUAAGAGGAAGGUUAAUUAUGGAAUAGUCAGAUGACUUAAUGUGUAUCACUCAUUCCAUAAAUAACAAUGUCCAUUCCAUGAAUGAAGGCAUCAUGUAACCACGGGCCUCCAGGACCAGUUCAACUGACCCCAUCUUAUCAACAGAGUAAUUAAGAGCAGUUUUUCAGGAACUGAGACCCUUUGUCCAGUUCAGGCCAGUUGAGACCACCAACCUAAAGCUGGGCCUGAGCAAAUGCCCCAUAAGUGACUUUUUUGACCUCAAAGGGCUGAAAACUCCACCCUCAGAUCAUACUAACACCACCAUUUUGUGACCAUGUGUCCUGUGAAGAGGCAUGAAGCUUGACCACGCUUGUGCAGAUCAUCGAUUACCUCACUUCUCCUUACCUCCAAUAAUCUACCUCCACACUUUAGUCCGCCCUGCCCUUCAUCCCAUAAAUUGUGCCCCAAGCCCUGGAUCUGAGAGCUGAUGCCUUUUGUCUCCUUGCAGAUAGAUCUAGCAAUAAAGCUGAUUUCUUUUCCCAAAAGCUGAUGCCAUAAUAAUUGGCCAUUUUUUUGCACAUCGAGUCGGAGUACCCCAAUUUUGUGGGGUAACAAUUGAUAGUGGCUCAAGAUAAAGUUGACAUGAGGGAAGCCAUGUUGUAGAAAAGAAAGCCUAUAGUAACUUUGAAUGAUCUCUGACUAACUAACCCAGCCAUAUAUGUACCCUCCAGGAGAUCUAAGUGCUCUGUAGAUUUUAAGACCCCUGCUUGUGCAUGUACUUCCCAGCUGCAAUAAGAUGAUAACUUUGUUCUUUUGAGUUCCUUAGGAAUGUGAUGACUCCCCAACAGAGAGUCUAUGCUGAUAGCCAUCAUCAAUGAAAACUGAAAGAUCUGGUGUGGCACUCCAAGUCUGUAACACCAGAAGGUCAACAUUCCUAACCCCCUCCCCUAUAACCCACCAGUCUAUAUAACUGCUGUAAGAUGUUGUGCCCCUUAAGAUGGUUCUUUUGGACAUGAGUCGGCCGUCUUCCCUCUUGCUACCAAGCUGUAAUAAAAAGGCCUUUUUCUCCUGCCGCCUUGCCUCUUGACUAUUGGCAUGUCUUGCGGUGGGCAGACGAACCCCCUUUUUGGGCAGU
Molecule: long non-coding RNA, 3706 nt
Organism: Diceros bicornis minor
Lineage: Eukaryota; Metazoa; Chordata; Mammalia; Perissodactyla; Rhinocerotidae
Exons: 7
Source: RefSeq, a predicted model, not a curated record